This is a long non-coding RNA of Salvelinus fontinalis (brook trout), 2281 nucleotides long. RefSeq lists it as uncharacterized. The transcript is spliced from 4 exons. Lineage: Eukaryota; Metazoa; Chordata; Actinopteri; Salmoniformes; Salmonidae. The record is from RefSeq and is a predicted model, not a curated record.
AUGUGGUGCUUGGCAACAGUCCAGUACCAGACCAGUUGUGGAACUAUGUGUGUUGGAGCCAAAUAAAUGAUUAAAUAAAUUAACAAAUCAUAAUCUGUUGUCGCUUAUUACUGUUAAAUAAUAAAUUGUGCUUGUAGAACUGUUGUAUAAAAGCAAUAUCACACUCGAGGUCGUGCUGUUAUACUGAAUAUUAUUAUAUUUGUCCUGCGGCCUCGUACCUACGGCCGAAUCACAGCCGUGCUGAUAUUCAGCACUCUCAUGUGAUAUUGCUCAACUGACGUACGUUCAUCACAUUAUCUAGCUAAAUAAGGGAGGCCUAAAAAACUAAAAAGUCAAAUACGGUGCAAAUCUUUGAGUCAUCUAACAACACUAUGAAUGAAGAUGGAAUGGAUUACACCUAUCCAGGCAUGGACAAUAUGUCAACCGCAGUAUUAAAAGGUCAUGUUCAUUUGUUUAUACUCGUCUACCGUUCUCCUUAGCUAGCUAACGUUCAUUUGAAUUGGAAUGUUGGCAAACCAAGUUUGCUAAUUUUAACUAGGUAACGUUGACUUUUAGGAAUUAAUAACGGCACGAACGGCCAUUCGUUGAAAAAACUUGAACUUUGGUUAGAUUGAUAGUGCUUAAUUGCCAGAAAUGGUGUUAAUGAGGUGUAAAUGUGCCCUAAUGACUGACACUGUUGAUUAUUUAGCUUCCCAGUCUUUGGCGCCCUUUCUAUUGACAAUAGAAAAUAAAUAGAAAUGGUGCCAAAGACGGCGAAGAUAAAUUAUCGAUGGUGUCAGUCAUUGUCUACAAUCUUAGCUAGGCAAGCAAAGAUGAACUAAGAUUUUCAAUAUGGGAGACAAUUUAGCGUUAACGUGAGUUUCAUUAGCUUGCACAAUCUUUUGGUUUAAAGUAAUUGACGUCAACGUUAAUGAUAUACUGGUAGUCUAAUUUUGUUAGCUAACAUUAGCUAGCUUGGUUAAUCAUUCCUGCAUUAACUGGAAAGGGACUACCGUAUGCUAAUGUCUCAUAACCUAUAUCAACCUGACUCUUUGCGUCUAUAAACCAUGACUUAGUUGCUAAUUACUUAACUAUUUACCAUGUGGUUAAAUGUGUUUUUCAGCUGCUAAUAUAAGCACAGACAUGCUGCCCAGCCUCUCUAAGGAGGAUUUACGUGAUCUCUUUCCCUUCUUCAGAAGGAGAACCAUUUUGAGAUUUACUCAUGGUGAAAAUGAGUUACUAUAGAAUAAAUGUAUGUCUUAUACACGGUCAAGAAUCAGACCUGUGUAGACCAGGCACUUCCUCCCGGGGACCUGUGAUUUCAGAUCUACAACCAGUGGAGCUGAGUAGAAGCAGCUUUUGAAAAGGAUUCAGAAUGUUACAACCCCCAAAAAGAAGCAGGGAGCGACCCCUUCAAGAAAGUGGCCACGAAGCCUUAGAUUUCAGAGCAGCCAGGAGAUGAUGUUGGAGAGAAUCCCCACUAUCUAGAUGCAACACCCCAGAGGUUGAACAGUUGGGUGAAACUUCUGAGUGCCUACAGAACCAGGCGAGACAUUAUAAAACUCUACAGGAGAUGUAUAAAACCAAGUCCAGACCCAACCAGAAGGAUGUUUCCCAGCGUCUGGACCUUGAAUUCCAAGCAAGACGGGCCUUCAUCGACUCUGAUGCUACUAAGGAGCAGGACAGGCCUACCAAGAUUCUUCAAGCGUAUCCCUGCUUCAGAGAACUGGAUCAUGUAAGCAAAUGUAUUCAUUCUAUGUAGGCCUAUGCUUCUUUAGCCUGGUUAACACCAGACCAAAUCUCAAAUGAGAUAUGGUGUGGGAACUGAGCAGCGUGAGAAGCCAUAGCAGGGACGGGGGUAAACUACUUGGGGCAAAUGUAAAAACAGUGAGCUCGUGAGAAUUCGGUCUGGUUGUCUGUCUGUCUCUCGUGUUAUGUAUGAACUCCGGCGUAUCCUCGAUCGAGGGAACUGCUUUAUACCUGAACUGAAGACCCGCUGGGGGACCUUUUACAACAAGGCACAGUUUUAUGGAGUGUUCAAAAAGGUCAUGAAGCCACCGCUGUUGGACAAAGGUAAUUACUGGCUCUGUAGACAAUGGAGAAUCCCAUGAACGGAUUAAUAUCAUUCUUAAAUAUUUUAUUUGUGUCCAGACAAAUGUACUUGUUUUUAGUGUAGCUGUACUGGUUUUAAGAUAUAUUUACUAAACAUACAGCCUUAUUUCAAGAUGAUGGCACUAGCAUUUGCUAAAUUUAUGCACAUUUUCCUACAUAUUCAGAAAAUGUUCUUAAAUCUUUUCUUUGU